AACGAACGCUGGCGGCAGGCCUAACACAUGCAAGUCGAGCGAGGACUUCGGUCCUAGCGGCGGACGGGUGAGUAACGCGUGGGAACGUGCCCUUUGCUUCGGAAUAGCCCUGGGAACCUGGGAGUAAUACCGGAUGAGCCCUUUGGGGGAAAGAUAUAUCGGCGAAGGAUCGGCCCGCGUUGGAUUAGGUAGUUGGUGGGGUAAUGGCCUACCAAGCCGACGAUCCAUAGCUGGUUUGAGAGGAUGAUCAGCCACACUGGGACUGAGACACGGCCCAGACUCCUACGGGAGGCAGCAGUGGGGAAUCGUAGACAACGGGGGAAACCCUGAUCUAGCCAUGCCGCGUGAGCGAUGAAGGCCUUAGGGUUGUAAAGCUCUUUCAGCUGGGAAGAUAAUGACGGUACCAGCAGAAGAAGCCCCGGCUAACUCCGUG
This 433-nucleotide ribosomal RNA is filed under the name uncultured bacterium. RNAcentral describes it as "partial 16S ribosomal RNA". It matches the Rfam family "Bacterial small subunit ribosomal RNA", at positions 29 to 507 of the family's 1533-position model. The record is from RNAcentral.